Molecule: long non-coding RNA, 1255 nt
Organism: Dendrobium catenatum
Lineage: Eukaryota; Viridiplantae; Streptophyta; Magnoliopsida; Asparagales; Orchidaceae
Exons: 3
Source: RefSeq, a predicted model, not a curated record
AUCCCGAAUUCCCCUCGAUUAGUCCUUUGUCUUCGCGGCAUCUUUAGAUAACGCCUCACCGCCUCUCUAGACGUUAAGGAUUCUCCCCAAAUCGCCGCCUCCUCGAUAACUGUAACGUUUCUUCUUCCUCACUCAUCUCGAUUUCUACUCUCCACCUCUUCGCAAUCAAUUGUUCGGAAGUCUUCUGGGCUUCUUCUCUCAGCCUCUUCGCAACCCUUUUAACUGUUCGGAAGAUUGCCUCUUCAACUACCGUAACAUUUCUUCUUCCUCUCUUCUCUAGGCUUCUCCUUUAAAGAUGUUCGUAAUGGUGCGAGUGAAGACGGUUCGAAUGUCCACCAAAAAUCUACUGUAAAUUAAAUGCAAAACGCUUGGAAUCUUCCCCAGCAUUCGACUAAAUGUCUCAAAUUCCAAUAUGCCUCCACAUCAUUUCGUUAUACAUCUCCGCAUCAUUCCGAAUUGGUUCUCUAGUUAUGACCAAGCACUGCCUACUCUUCUUGCAUAUGUACAUGUUGCUGCUUAGAGAAGGCUUACAGGGUAAAUAUAUCUGAUACAUUGCUGUUGGAUCGUUGAUCUUAAGACACGAAUUCAGGUUAACCUCCUUCCCUGAUUUUUAUAUAGGCAUAUAGUCAAUUUUCUUUUUUUAAUAAUAGCUUAAUUAAGUUAUUUCUCUGAUUCAAUAAAAUGAUUUACAUCCUUGAUCACAAACUUCAUUCAAAAUCCUAUUGAGUCCCUUAAAAAACAUUUAAAUUAAUCUCUAUAUCGUUUUUGAAAUUUUUUUGUAAGACCAAUUAGCAAUUAGUAUAUAAUUUAUUAUGUAACAUUCUAAUUAGUACAUUAAGUAGUUGCUAUUUAAAACACUUUUUUGAUUGAUUAGGUUUCAUUUGGGAUUGCUUUCUUACUGCUUUCUAAAAUAAUUUUUUAGUACAAAGAUUUCGUAAAUUAGAAAUUUUCAUAUUAGAAAGCGCUAAGAAAACUGUCCCAAAUAAAACUUUAACCGAUAAAUUUUUAUGACAUUUAUCAAAAAUGGUAUUUUGAUCAUACUUUUGCUUUGAGUUUUAAGGAAAUGCUUUUUAUUGUUGUAGAGCUGUGGAAUAUUUAAUUGCUUUUUUAUUUUUAUUUAUUCAUGUUUGAGAUAAAUGGACGUGUAAUUAUAAUACAUGAAUUUUCCUUGAUUCAUUAUAAUAUCCUAUCUUAAUUCAUUUUUUAAAAUAUUUAAAAUACUAAAAGUGUGUGAGAAUUAAAAUCGAAAGUUAGG